GAGUCAUUAAAUCUCAAGGAUAUCUAUUUGGUCAUGUUUUCUUGUGGUAUUUCAAGGCUACUGGUGACUUCUUCAACAGUUAAGAAACUGAACUAUAUGUUCAUGAAAAUACUCAAUCAUUAAAGUUUAUG
This 131-nucleotide long non-coding RNA is filed under the name Pongo abelii (Sumatran orangutan). Its description in RNAcentral is "lincRNA". Lineage: Eukaryota; Metazoa; Chordata; Mammalia; Primates; Hominidae. The record is from RNAcentral.